GACGAAUUCUCAAAUUCAUAACAAAGCGAGCUGUCAAGUGUGAACCUAGAAGAACUAUGUCAACAGAGAAUAUGUUGGAAUCAUCCAUGGAAAACAGUGAAAAUCCAAGAGAAGGUAAUUUUGCAUAUAAUCACACAGAGGCUAUAUCACAGAUAGAAGAUAUCAACAAGCAGUUGAACGAAUUAAAGACCUCCCUCUGCAAGUCAAUAGUCAAAUGUCAUUUGUUGGAAGUGGAUCUUGCUUCACAGUUCAACCCUCAUAUGAUACAGACUUUAAGACAGACAGAGAAAGACUGCAGCCAUUGUUCGAAGAAAUUAGAGCUUCAUUUCUCCAAUUCAGUAAUCACCAAUUAGAAAAAACAUCUUACUUUGCUAUUUCAUAAUACCACAAUUUGUUAAAUAUUUAUUAACUAAUGAAUUAACAAAUAAAU
This is a long non-coding RNA of Patella vulgata (common limpet), 430 nucleotides long. RefSeq lists it as uncharacterized. The transcript has 3 exons. The record is from RefSeq and is a predicted model, not a curated record. Lineage: Eukaryota; Metazoa; Mollusca; Gastropoda; Patellidae.